AGAGUUUGAUCCUGGCUCAGGACGAACGUUGGCGGCGUGCUUAACACAUGCAAGUCGAGCGGUUCUCGUAGUUUACUUCGAGGAUAGCGGCGGACGGGGCGGACGGGUGAGUAACGCGUGGAUAAUCUGCCUGUAAGACAGGGAUAACGCCGGGAAACCGGUGCUAAUACCGGAUAACCUCUUUGGAUCGCAUGAUAUGAAGUCUUUACAAUGCUACCACUUACAGAUGAAUCCGCGUCCCAUUAGCCAGUUGGUGGGGUAAAGGCCUACCAAAGCGACGAUGGGUAGCCGGCCUGAGAGGGUGACCGGCCACACUGGAACUGAGAUACGGUCCAGACUCCUACGGGAGGCAGCAGUGGGGAAUCUUCCGCAAUGGGCGAAAGCCUGACGGAGCAACGCCGCGUGAGCGAAGAAGGUCUUCGGAUUGUAAAGCUCUGUGAUAUUAAUGGGAAGGAAUGACGGUACCAGAGGAGGAAGCCACGGCUAACUACGUGCCAGCAGCCGCGGUAAUACGUAGGUGGCGAGCGUUGUCCGGAAUUACUGGGCGUAAAGGGCGCGUAGGCGGCUCUUUAAGUCAGAUGUGAAAACCCAGGGCUUAACCUUGGGAGUGCAUUUGAAACUGAAGGGCUCGAGUGCAGGAGAGGUAAGUGGAAUUCCUAGUGUAGCGGUGAAAUGCGUAGAUAUUAGGAGGAACACCAGUGGCGAAGGCGACUUACUGGACUGUAACUGACGCUGAGGCGCGAAAGCGUGGGGAGCAAACAGGAUUAGAUACCCUGGUAGUCCACGCCGUAAACGAUGGGUACUAGGUGUUGCGGGUAUUGACCCCUGCAGUGCCGAAGCUAACGCAUUAAGUACCCCGCCUGGGGAGUACGGUCGCAAGACUAAAACUCAAAGGAAUUGACGGGGGCCCGCACAAGCGGUGGAGCAUGUGGUUUAAUUCGACGCAACGCGAAGAACCUUACCUGGGCUUGACAUCCUGUGACAGCUAUAGAAAUAUAGACUUCUUAGUUUACUAAGACACAGAGACAGGUGGUGCAUGGUUGUCGUCAGCUCGUGUCGUGAGAUGUUGGGUUAAGUCCCGCAACGAGCGCAACCCUUGUUGCUAGUUACCAGCACGUAAACAGUUGGGAACUCUAGCGAGACUGCCGGUGACAAACCGGAGGAAGGUGGGGAUGACGUCAAAUCAUCACGCCCCUUACGACCAGGGCCACACACGUACUACAAUGCCCGGUACAGCGAGUUGCAAAGCCGCGAGGCAGAGCUAAUCUCUUAAAACCGGGCCAAGUUCAGAUCGGAGGCUGCAAUUCGCCUCCGUGAAGCUGGAAUCGCUAGUAAACGCAGAUCAUCAUGCUGCGUUGAAUACGUUCUCGGGCCUUGUACACACCGCCCGUCACACCACGAAAGUCGGCAACACCCGAAGCCGGUGACUCAACCCGAAAGGGAGAGAGCCGUCGAAGGUGGGGUUGGUAAUUGGGGUGAAGUCGUAACAAGGUAACC
This 1497-nucleotide ribosomal RNA is filed under the name uncultured bacterium. Its description in RNAcentral is "bacterial SSU rRNA". It matches the Rfam family "Bacterial small subunit ribosomal RNA". The record is from RNAcentral.